GGAGUUGUGGCUCAGUGGUAGAGCCACAACUGGCAUGUGUGAGGUUCUGGGUUCAAUCCUCAGCAUCACAU
Molecule: transfer RNA, 71 nt
Filed under: Marmota monax (woodchuck)
Lineage: Eukaryota; Metazoa; Chordata; Mammalia; Rodentia; Sciuridae
Rfam family: tRNA
About the family: Transfer RNA (tRNA) molecules are approximately 80 nucleotides in length. Their secondary structure includes four short double-helical elements and three loops (D, anti-codon, and T loops).
Source: Rfam by way of RNAcentral